UCAGUCGUUUUUUAACAGCGCGUGCUACAACUUGAAUAUUCUCAGCUCCAAUCCGAAAGCUCCCGAGGCUCCACGCUUGCCGCCUCAUAAACAAACAGUUAGAAAAACUCUCUGCGUUCCGCGUGUGUGAGUGUUGGUGUGUGUGAGUGUUUGCGUUUUGUUGCUGGCACACGGUUCGGUUGCCCUCAUUGUGCUCUGGUGCAAAUGAAAAUUUCAUUGAGCAGAAAAACUACACAUUAAAUAUGCAGAUAAACAAUAAAUAAUUAGGAACCUAAGUUUAGCCUGAAAAUCAAAGAACAUGGAAUUCAGUUACAAAAACCUUUAAUUUUACCCAUUCGCAACUUGUCUCGAUGUUUUUUCUGUGUACCUUAGUUGAUAGACUCGAAGUUGUGUCUAAUUUAAGUCACCGCUAAACAGAUCGUUAGCCCUUAUGAACGAUUCAUCGAUUUUGUGAUGAAAACAUAUUUUAUAAUAAUAAAAUGAAAACAAACAGACAAUGGCCUGAAAGCAAAAACACGAAUGUGUUUAGCUUGAUUGAAAUCGAAAAGAAGCAAAGAAGAAAGAGAGAUUGGAGCUCACCGUUACUCUGGUUGUUUAACCCAUGGGUGCUCCUUUUAAUCGAUUAAAGUACCAUUACAUCAUGUAUCCAUUAAAUAUUAAAUACAAACGAAAAAUAAAAUAAAAAGAAUUGUGUGUAGUUGAGAUGUCACCAAGACAAAGAUGAAAGCUCAGGUUCACUGCCAAACGUGGAGUAGGGGAAAGCUUACGUGCUGAGUCGUGUAGCAAGUACAAACAGUAAUUGGGUGCAGAAACACAGUAAAGCCUGGCAACAAGGAACUUGAAUCAUACCGUUUUCGUUUUGUUUUCUGGAGUUCUACAAUGGUUGUUUUUAUAACUUUACUAGCACCGAUUCGGGCUCUCGAGACACACUUUUAAACAUAAUGACACAAAACAAUUUCCAUAAUUGUAAAUAAAAAUGGAAGGAACAGCCACAAUCACAGCAUAAACCAUAGACUCGAAUGAAUAAACAUAAAAAACUACCCAACAAUUUGUAAAUACCCUUGAAAAAACAUGGACUUGGCACUUCUUUGCUCCACGAGUACACCUACAUACAUAUUUGUAGUAGUUUCUAGUAGAUUCCCGUCAAUCAAAAACUAACGUAAAAGUAUUUUAAAUGUGCUCAAUAAGGCAAUGGGGGAAAUGGGGUAUAGUGCUUAAUAACUAAACAUUUUUAAGCUAAAAUCAUUUAAACAAUUGUAGCUGGAUAUCAACACACAGAAUAUGCCACUGCUUCUCUCUAUCAGUUCGAAAAAGUAUUAAAAAACGUCUCUUCAAAAUGCUACUUGCAUACUAUUAUAACACUUAAUCAUCGCACCUUAGCAUUA
Drosophila subobscura is the source of this 1385-nucleotide long non-coding RNA. RefSeq lists it as uncharacterized. The transcript is spliced from 2 exons. NCBI's taxonomy places the organism in Eukaryota, Metazoa, Arthropoda, Insecta, Diptera, Drosophilidae. The record is from RefSeq and is a predicted model, not a curated record.